GACGAACGCUGGCGGCGUGCCUAAUACAUGCAAGUUGAGCGAUGAAGAUUGGUGCUUGCACCAAUUUGAAGAGCAGCGAACGGGUGAGUAACGCGUGGGGAAUCUGCCUUUGAGCGGGGGACAACAUUUGGAAACGAAUGCUAAUACCGCAUAACAACUUUAAACAUAAGUUUUAAGUUUGAAAGAUGCAAUUGCAUCACUCAAGGAUGAUCCCGCGUUGUAUUAGCUAGUUGGUGAGGUAAAGGCUCACCAAGGCGAUGAUACAUAGCCGACCUGAGAGGGUGUUCAGCCACAUUGGGACUGGGACACGGCCCAAACUCCUACGGGAGGCAGCAGUAGGGAAUCUUCGGCAAUGGGCGAAAGUCUGACCGCGCAACGCCGCGUGAGUGAAGAAGGUUUUCGGGUCGUAAAACUCUGUUGGUAGGGAAGAACGUUGGUGAGAGUGGAAAGCUCAUCAAGUGACGGUAACUACCCAGAAAGGGACGGCUAACUACGUG
This 497-nucleotide ribosomal RNA is filed under the name uncultured bacterium. RNAcentral's name for it is "partial 16S ribosomal RNA". It matches the Rfam family "Bacterial small subunit ribosomal RNA", at positions 28 to 507 of the family's 1533-position model. The record is from RNAcentral.